CAUUGGGUUGGUUCACUAAAUUCUGGGGGACAUUGAAAAUUAUUAUAAAUUGAAUAUAUCAAGUCCGUACCAAGAUCCGACACUGGUGUCUUUAGGUUAGAAGCCUAAGGUGUAUGGAGUACAAAGUAGGCGAGGGAAUUCGGCAAAUUAGUCCUGUAACUUCGGAAGAAAGGAUACCUGCUUUUUUUAUGAGGAAUAGGGAUAGCAGGUCGCAGUGACAAGGGGGUCCCGACUGUUUAAUAAAAACACAGGAGACUGCUAGUCCGCAAGGAUGUGUAUAGUCUUUGAAACUUGGUCAGUGGCGGUACCUAAAACUCAAGUUCAAUUGAGCUAAGGGCCGCUUAACACCGGGAGUAACUCUGACUCUCUUAAGGUAGCCAAAUGCCUUGUCGGGUAAGUUCCGACGCGCAUGAAUAGUUCAACGAGGGCCCUACUGUCCCCGUCUGCAACUCCGUGAACCCACAUUAGGUGGACGAACAGUCCAUCGACUUCCAUCGGGAAGAGAAGUCCCUGUGGAGCUUUACUGCAGCUUGUUGUUGUGAUGCGGUUCUAAUUUCAGAGAGUAACCGGGAGCCGUUAUGCACAUACUUUUGGGUAUGUGAUAGGCAAAAGUGUAACACCGGUAUCUUAGAGUUACGUCACUAACCUCAUUUUGAGGGACAUCGGCAGGUGGGCAGUUCGGCUGGGGCGGCACCCCUUUGAAAAGAUAUCGAAGGGGCUCUAAGGUUGGCUCAGGUGGGUCAGAAAUCCACUUUUGAGGGCAAGGCCAAAAGCCAGCCUGACAGGAUUCUGAACAAUAAAGAAUUCUGCUGCGAAAGCAUGACCUAGCGAUCCUUCAAGUCCCCACUGUUGGGGGCUGGAGGUGACAGAAAAGUUACCCCAGGGGUAACAGGCUCGUCGCGGGUGAGAGCUCCAAUCGACCCCGCGGUUUGGUACCUCGAUGUCGGCUCUUCCCAUCCUGGUUCUGCAGCAGGAGCCAAGGGUGGGGCUGCUCGCCCAUUAAAGGGGAACGUGAGCUGGGUUUAGACCGUCGUGAGACAGGUCGGUC
RNAcentral lists this ribosomal RNA (1048 nucleotides) under marine metagenome. Its description in RNAcentral is "bacterial LSU rRNA". It matches the Rfam family "Archaeal large subunit ribosomal RNA", at positions 1662 to 2705 of the family's 2987-position model. The record is from RNAcentral.